GCAUAUCAAUAAGCCGGAGGAAAAGAAACCCAACAGGGAUUGCCCCAGUAACGGCGAAGUGAAGCGGCAAGAGCUCAAAUUUGAAAGCUGGCUCCUUCGGGGUCCGCAUUGUAAUUUGCAGAGGAUGCUUCGGGAGCGGUCCCCAUCUAAGUGCCCUGGAACGGGACGUCAUAGAGGGUGAGAAUCCCGUAUGGGAUGGGGUGUCCGCGCCCGUGUGAAGCUCCUUCGACGAGUCGAGUUGUUUGGGAAUGCAGCUCUAAAUGGGUGGUAAAUUUCAUCUAAAGCUAAAUAUUGGCCGGAGACCGAUAGCGCACAAGUAGAGUGAUCGAAAGAUGAAAAGCACUUUGAAAAGAGAGUUAAAAAGCACGUGAAAUUGUUGAAAGGGAAGCGCUUGCGACCAGACUCGCUCGCGGGGUUCAGCCGGCAUUCGUGCCGGUGUAUUUCCCCGCGGGCGGGCCAGCGUCGGUUUGGGCGGUCGGUCAAAGGCCCUCGGAAGGUAACGCCCCUAGGGGCGUCUUAUAGCCGAGGGUGCAAUGCGACCUGCCUAGACCGAGGAACGCGCUUCGGCUCGGACGCUGGCAUAAUGGUCGUAAGCGACCCGUCUUGAAACACGGACCAAGGAGUCUAACAUCUACGCGAGUGUUCGGGUGUCAAACCCGUGCGCGAAGUGAAAGCGAACGGAGGUGGGAACCCUUACGGGUGCACCAUCGACCGAUCCUGAAGUCUUCGGAUGGAUUUGAGUAAGAGCGUAGCUGUUGGGACCCGAAAGAUGGUGAACUAUGCCUGAAUAGGGCGAAGCCAGAGGAAACUCUGGUGGAGGCUCGUAGCGGUUCUGACGUGCAAAUCGAUCGUCGAAUUUGGGUAUAGGGGGCGAAAGACUAAUCGAACCAUCUGGUAGCUGGGUUCCUGCGAG
This 913-nucleotide ribosomal RNA is filed under the name Penicillium expansum. RNAcentral's name for it is "LSU rRNA". It matches the Rfam family "Eukaryotic large subunit ribosomal RNA", at positions 38 to 965 of the family's 3401-position model. The record is from RNAcentral. Lineage: Eukaryota; Fungi; Ascomycota; Eurotiomycetes; Eurotiales; Aspergillaceae.